RNAcentral lists this ribosomal RNA (229 nucleotides) under uncultured bacterium. RNAcentral describes it as "partial 16S ribosomal RNA". It matches the Rfam family "Bacterial small subunit ribosomal RNA", at positions 111 to 334 of the family's 1533-position model. The record is from RNAcentral.
UAACGCGUAGGUAACCUGCCUUGUAGCGGGGGAGUAACUAUUGGAAACGAUAGCUAAUACCGCAUAACAAUGGAUGACCCAUGUCAUUUAUUUGAAAGGGGCAAAUGCUCCACUACAAGAUGGACCUGCGUUGUAUUAGCUAGUAGGUGAGGUAACGGCUCACCUAGGCGACGAUACAUAGCCGACCUGAGAGGGUGAUCGGCCACACUGGGACUGAGACGCGGCCCAG